RNAcentral lists this ribosomal RNA (279 nucleotides) under uncultured bacterium. Its description in RNAcentral is "partial 16S ribosomal RNA". It matches the Rfam family "Bacterial small subunit ribosomal RNA", at positions 506 to 784 of the family's 1533-position model. The record is from RNAcentral.
UGCCAUCCGCCGCGGUAAUACGGAGGGUCCGAGCGUUAUCCGGAAUCAUUGGGUUUAAAGGGUCCGUAGGCGGUUAGAUAAGUCAGUGGUGAAAGUUUUCGGCUCAACCGGAAAAAUGCCAUUGAUACUGGAUUUCUUGAAUUAGUGUGAAGUGGUUAGAAUGUGUAGUGUAGCGGUGAAAUGCAUAGAUAUUACACAGAAUACCAAUUGCGAAGGCAGAUCACUAACACUAUAUUGACGCUGAGGGACGAAAGCGUGGGGAGCGAACAGGAUUAGAUA